CUGGAACAAACGCCCUCACGGGUGCUACCCAGAAACCCUUUGUGAAUUAUUCUCCAUUGUUGCCUCGGCAUUGACUGGCUUUCUUUGUGAAGUCCCUUUUUUCGGAAAGGAGCAGGUCGGCCGGUGGCCCUAUAAACUCUUAUUUUUACACUGUAUCUUCUGAGUAAAAAAAAUAUAAAUGAAUCA
This 186-nucleotide unclassified non-coding RNA is filed under the name uncultured fungus. RNAcentral describes it as "sequence contains ITS1, 5.8S rRNA gene". The record is from RNAcentral. Lineage: Eukaryota; Fungi.